This 250-nucleotide ribosomal RNA is filed under the name uncultured bacterium. RNAcentral's name for it is "partial 16S ribosomal RNA". It matches the Rfam family "Bacterial small subunit ribosomal RNA", at positions 524 to 776 of the family's 1533-position model. The record is from RNAcentral.
UACGUAGGGGGCUAGCGUUGUCCGGAUUUAUUGGGCGUAAAGAGCGUGUAGGCGGCCUGGUAGGUCUGCUGUGAAACUCGAGGCUCAACCUCGAGAUGUCGGCGGAAACCAUCUGGCUAGAGUCCGGAAGAGGAGAGUGGAAUUCCUGGUGUAGCGGUGAAAUGCGCAGAUAUCAGGAAGAACACCUAUGGCGAAGGCAGCUCUCUGGACGGUACUGACGCUGAGACGCGAAAGCGUGGGAGCGAACAGG